This 1395-nucleotide ribosomal RNA is filed under the name uncultured bacterium. Its description in RNAcentral is "bacterial SSU rRNA". It matches the Rfam family "Bacterial small subunit ribosomal RNA". The record is from RNAcentral.
AGAGUUUGAUCCUGGCUCAGAUUGAACGCUGGCGGCGGGCCUAACACAUGCAAGUCGAGCGGUAGAGAGAAGCUUGCUUUUCUUGAGAGCGGCGGACGGGUGAGUAAUGCCUAGGAAUCUGCCUGGUAGUGGGGGAUAACGUUCGGAAACGGACGCUAAUACCGCAUACGUCCUACGGGAGAAAGCAGGGGACCUUCGGGCCUUGCGCUAUCAGAUGAGCCUAGGUCGGAUUAGCUAGUUGGUGAGGUAAUGGCUCACCAAGGCGACGAUCCGUAACUGGUCUGAGAGGAUGAUCAGUCACACUGGAACUGAGACACGGUCCAGACUCCUACGGGAGGCAGCAGUGGGGAAUAUUGGACAAUGGGCGAAAGCCUGAUCCAGCCAUGCCGCGUGUGUGAAGAAGGUCUUCGGAUUGUAAAGCACUUUAAGUUGGGAGGAAGGGCAGUAAAUUAAUACUUUGCUGUUUUGACGUUACCGACAGAAUAAGCACCGGCUAACUCUGUGCCAGCAGCCGCGGUAAUACAGAGGGUGCAAGCGUUAAUCGGAAUUACUGGGCGUAAAGCGCGCGUAGGUGGUUUGUUAAGUUGGAUGUGAAAUCCCCGGGCUCAACCUGGGAACUGCAUUCAAAACUGACUGACUAGAGUAUGGUAGAGGGUGGUGGAAUUUCCUGUGUAGCGGUGAAAUGCGUAGAUAUAGGAAGGAACACCAGUGGCGAAGGCGACCACCUGGACUAAUACUGACACUGAGGUGCGAAAGCGUGGGGAGCGAACAGGAUUAGAUACCCUGGUAGUCCACGCCGUAAACGAUGUCAACUAGCCGUUGGAAGCCUUGAGCUUUUAGUGGCGCAGCUAACGCAUUAAGUUGACCGCCUGGGGAGUACGGCCGCAAGGUUAAAACUCAAAUGAAUUGACGGGGGCCCGCACAAGCGGUGGAGCAUGUGGUUUAAUUCGAAGCAACGCGAAGAACCUUACCAGGCCUUGACAUCCAAUGAACUUUCUAGAGAUAGAUUGGUGCCUUCGGGAACAUUGAGACAGGUGCUGCAUGGCUGUCGUCAGCUCGUGUCGUGAGAUGUUGGGUUAAGUCCCGUAACGAGCGCAACCCUUGUCCUUAGUUACCAGCACGUCAUGGUGGGCACUCUAAGGAGACUGCCGGUGACAAACCGGAGGAAGGUGGGGAUGACGUCAAGUCAUCAUGGCCCUUACGGCCUGGGCUACACACGUGCUACAAUGGUCGGUACAGAGGGUUGCCAAGCCGCGAGGUGGAGCUAAUCCCACAAAACCGAUCGUAGUCCGGAUCGCAGUCUGCAACUCGACUGCGUGAAGUCGGAAUCGCUAGUAAUCGCGAAUCAGAAUGUCGCGGUGAAUACGUUCCCGGGCCUUGCACUCAACGCCCGUC